RNAcentral lists this transfer RNA (90 nucleotides) under Acidaminococcaceae bacterium. RNAcentral describes it as "tRNA-Ser". It matches the Rfam family "tRNA". Rfam says of the family: Transfer RNA (tRNA) molecules are approximately 80 nucleotides in length. Their secondary structure includes four short double-helical elements and three loops (D, anti-codon, and T loops). Lineage: Bacteria; Bacillati; Bacillota; Negativicutes; Acidaminococcales; Acidaminococcaceae. The record is from RNAcentral.
GGAGAGGUAGCCGAGCGGUUUAAGGCUCUAGUCUUGAAAACUAGCGAGGUGUCAAAGCUUCCGUGGGUUCGAAUCCCACCCUCUCCGCCA